Molecule: long non-coding RNA, 216 nt
Filed under: Musa acuminata (dwarf banana)
Lineage: Eukaryota; Viridiplantae; Streptophyta; Magnoliopsida; Zingiberales; Musaceae
Description: long non-coding RNA (MACU_LNC011002)
Source: RNAcentral
UGAUGACAAUCAAUUGAUGACGGAGUUAAACAUAACUCCCCCUAUCUAUAUGCCAUAUUAUGAGAAGAUAAAAACACUUGAAUUCCAUCCCAUUGAAUUCAAGCAUAAACUGAUAAGUUCUAACCGUAGAACUUAUCGUUAUUCUCAUUAAGCAUAAGUAAAUACGAAACUUUGAUGAAAAUCAUUUUCAAGUCGAAUGAUAAGAGACAAUUUUUA